AUGCUUCGGCAGCACAUACACUAAAAUUGGAACGAUACAGAGAAGAUUAGCAUGCCCCCUGCGCAAAGAUGACAUGCAAAAGUGUGAAGCAUUCCAUAUUUUU
This is a small nuclear RNA of Amblyraja radiata (thorny skate), 103 nucleotides long. Lineage: Eukaryota; Metazoa; Chordata; Chondrichthyes; Rajiformes; Rajidae. The record is from RefSeq and is a predicted model, not a curated record.